This 83-nucleotide ribosomal RNA is filed under the name Eimeria stiedae. RNAcentral's name for it is "Eimeria stiedai partial 18S ribosomal RNA". It matches the Rfam family "Eukaryotic small subunit ribosomal RNA", at positions 1749 to 1831 of the family's 1831-position model. The record is from RNAcentral. RNAcentral also lists the same sequence under 10 other names. Lineage: Eukaryota; Apicomplexa; Conoidasida; Eucoccidiorida; Eimeriidae.
GGGAAGUUGCGUAAAUAGAGCCCUCUAAAGGAUGCAAAAGUCGUAACACGGUUUCCGUAGGUGAACCUGCGGAAGGAUCAUUC